CUAAUACUUUGUUCGGCAAUGUUGAAUUCCUGUGAAUAAAAAAAGGCUGAGUUCCUUUAACCCCACCCCAUCUGUUGCCGUUGGGAAAUUCUCAUGUAACCUGUUUACAGCAAUAAUUCUUUUUGAUGUCUUGGAAGAUAUUCUGGGUGUUUAUCACAGGGACCAAUGGAGCAAUGACCCCUUGACCACACUCCCUUUCUCAAAAACAGGUUGCUGUAGAAGUGUGGAUGAUAUGCCUAUUCAAGAUGAAGAGCUCAAGAAUUAACAUAAUUCUUUUGCUUUAGCGCCUUGUUGUUUCUAUACCUGAACUUACUGUUUCACCCUUUUUAUAUAUAAUAAAUAUAUAACAUAUAUAUUUUUAUAUACAGCUUUGCGUACACAAUACUACUCGUGUUUAAAUGCAUUUAUAUACUUGGAAUAUAAUCCUUUGAAGGUUCUCAAAGUUUUUUCCCCCUCUCUCAGUCCACUGCUUGUUAUAGAUAGAACAUAGGUUUAAGUUCUGUCUGUACAAAGUAGCAUUCCUGAAUUCUCCUCAAGGACAUGCCUGUAAAUGUUACCUCCAGCUGUAACCAAUUUAUCUUCAGUGUUUUUCCAUUUCAAAGGUUAUCUAAAAGUACUGUUUCACGCAUUGUUUUUCCUGAUCGUAUUCUGUAAAGUCAGUACUUAAUUUGUAAUGUAUAAUUUUAUAUAAUAAAGUAGUAUUUGGGUGGAUA
Long non-coding RNA from Heteronotia binoei (common prickly gecko), 713 nucleotides. RefSeq lists it as uncharacterized. The record is from RefSeq and is a predicted model, not a curated record. The transcript is spliced from 2 exons. NCBI's taxonomy places the organism in Eukaryota, Metazoa, Chordata, Lepidosauria, Squamata, Gekkonidae.